Molecule: long non-coding RNA, 1108 nt
Organism: Herpailurus yagouaroundi (jaguarundi)
Lineage: Eukaryota; Metazoa; Chordata; Mammalia; Carnivora; Felidae
Exons: 4
Source: RefSeq, a predicted model, not a curated record
UGCAACAGAUCUCUUGUUUUCGCAGGGCCACGUGGAUUCCCAAGCCCAUCCUGACCUCAUGGGGUCACCGCUCUGGCUCAGCGGUUGAGUGAGACCUAGCCAGGGUCUUACUCAGGGGCUUCUGAGCUGGAGGGGAGCCCAAGGAGAGGAGGCCUGAAUAGGAACGGGCGUUUCAGGACCCAUUCCAGGCACGGGAACCGUGGGGACAGACCUCCGUUCUGAUGAGCAAAAAUCAGAGGAACCAGUGAUCCGAAAGGGGUCUACGUGUCGGAACAAUGAAAUUCCGUAUAAAAUCAGUGUUGCCGUCACGACUUCCUUAAAGGCACGGGGACCAGAUGACUUGUCCCGGGUCACACGGCUACAAAGUGGCAGGGCUGUGAUGAAACCCAAGCCUGGAAUCAAAACGUGGAUAAGACAAGCCGGCAGGCCUGUGUGCCGGGAACUGGGCAGUGCGGCCCACGGGGACAUGACUGCACGUACUUGCUCUGGGACACAGUGCUGCUCAUGCUGGGGAGUGCACGGAGUCACUGACGGGACCGUCUUCCAAGGUGGAGGACCCUGGUCCUUACCCACAAGGUGUCCUCUGAGCGGUGAGCCCCAGAUGCAGUGACACGUGGCCUUCGAAGAGAGACACAUGGGCGGAAGAGGAGGUGAUGUGACCGUGGAGGCAGAGCUUGGGGUGAUGCGGCCCCGAGUCCAAGAAUGCUGGCAGCUACUCUUGUAGAAAGGACUUGUGCCCCCCACCCCCCCACGCCCCGCCUCCCCAGAGCCUCUGACACCUUGGUGUCAGAUUCAGCCUCCAGAAGUGUGCAAGGAAACAUUCGUCACCGCAGCCCUAGGAAACCAAUGCAGUGACGGAAUUCCCUUCUCAGAACUUGCUCAGGAAAUGCCAAGACCCAAUGGCUCAAAGACGUGGCUGCCAGCUUCUGAGACGUGGGGCGUGGUCUCAGGCUCGCAGCUGUUGCCGAACGUCUCGUAAAGUAUCUCUGCCCAGGGGUCCAGGCAUGGAGCAAAAAAGUGUGUGGCGUUAAAAUCCUUCCUUGAUGGCAGGGGCGCCUGGGUGGCUCAGUCGGUUAAGUGUCCAUCUCUUGGUUUCAGCUCAGAUCAU